UUAGGAAUCUUCCACGAUGGGCGAAAGCCUGAUGGAGCGACGCCGCGUGAGGGAUGAAGGCCUUAGGGUUGUAAACCUCUAAAAGAGGGACGAUAAUGACGGUACCUCUUGAAUAGCACCGGCUAACUCCGUGCCAGCAGCCGCGGUAAUACGGAGGGUGCAAGCGUUAUCCGGAAUCACUGGGCGUAAAGGGCGCGUAGGCGGUCUGUUAAGUCCGAUGUUAAAUCCCGGGGCUCAACCCCGGAUAAGCGUUGGAUACUGGCAGGCUAGACGGUUGGAGAGGCGAGUGGAAUUACCAGUGUAGCGGUGGAAUGCGUAGAUACUGGUAGGAACACCCAUUGCGAAGGCAGCUCGCUGGACAACACGUGACGCUGAGGCGCGAAAGUGUGGGGAGCAAACC
This 400-nucleotide ribosomal RNA is filed under the name uncultured bacterium. Its description in RNAcentral is "bacterial SSU rRNA". It matches the Rfam family "Bacterial small subunit ribosomal RNA", at positions 355 to 774 of the family's 1533-position model. The record is from RNAcentral.